UACGUAGGGUGCGAGCGUUAAUCGGAAUUACUGGGCGUAAAGCGUGCGCAGGCGGUUUGGUAAGACAGGCGUGAGAUCCCCGGGCUCAACCUGGGAACUGCAUUUGUGACUGCAUAGCUAGAGUACGGCAGAGGGGGAUGGAAUUCCGCGUGUAGCAGUGAAAUGCGUAGAUAUGCGGAGGAACACCGAUGGCGAAGGCAAUCCCCUGGGCCUGUACUGACGCGUUAUGCACGAAAGCU
Molecule: ribosomal RNA, 239 nt
Filed under: uncultured bacterium
Lineage: Bacteria
Description: partial 16S ribosomal RNA
Rfam family: Bacterial small subunit ribosomal RNA
Source: RNAcentral